GAUGAACGCUGGCGGCGCGCCUAACACAUGCCAGUCGAACGAUUAAAGCACCUUCGGGUGUGUAUAAAGUGGCGAACGGCUGAGUAACACGUGGGCAACCUGCCCCUUUCAUUGGGAUAGCCACGGGAAACCGUGGAUAAUACCGAAUACUUCGAGACUUCCGCAUGGAAGACUCGAGAAAGCUCCGGCGGGGAGGGAUGGGCCCGCGGCCUGUUAGCUUGUUGGUGGGGUAACGGCCUACCAAGGCAAUGAUGGGUAGCUGGGUUGAGAGACCGACCAGCCAGAUUGGGACUGAGACACGGCCCAGACUCCUACGGGAGGCAGCAGUGGGGAAUCUUGCACAAUGGGCGAAAGCCUGAUGCAGCGACGCCGCGUGCGGGAUGAAGGCCUUCGGGUUGUAAACCGCUUUCAGCAGGGACGAGGCGAAAGUGACGGUACCUGCAGAAGAAGCCCCGGCUAACUACGUG
Molecule: ribosomal RNA, 467 nt
Filed under: uncultured bacterium
Lineage: Bacteria
Description: partial 16S ribosomal RNA
Rfam family: Bacterial small subunit ribosomal RNA
Source: RNAcentral